UCCCCGCGAACGCGCGGCGUUUGGGUGCUUCGGCCAACGCACACCCUGCGGCAGCUGCGCCUCAACGCGAGAGGGAGAGAAUGUCCAUCAAACCACAGCUGUGAGACAUGGUCAUCCAACGGCGAGCCCCUCCGCUGAGAGAGAGAGGAGCGCCGCAGACACUAUUCAGAGGAAGGGGCCAAACCAAGCUUUCGAGCACUUAGAGAGUAAAGGGACGCCAAGGCAAAAAGCACAAACUGGAAAUGUUGCAGGAACUCAAGGGUAGAUGGUCAUCCUGCCUACGGGAUACGUGGAAUGCGAAAAGUCAUGUCUGUCUCUUAAAACCACAGAAAGAAACAUGCACAUAUAAUAAAGAAUGAACCCAGCCCUUCAAAACACACGGCUCUGAGAUAAGCUACAGGUGAACCGUACAACAAGGAUGUAUCUCCAAAAUGUAGGGAAUUUCAGGUGGUGUAAAAAGUGGAAAUUAAAAUGGCCUUUCAUCCAGACAUUGAAUGCCAAACAAUCAGUUUAUAAAUCUUAGUUCUCAGGAUCUGUUUCUUUAUUGCUAUAGUUCUAUGAUUUCUUUAUAGAUAUUUCUUAAUUAUAUUUGGACACAGAUGGUACCUUGCUACAAUUGUGGUAGCCCCCUACAGAAUAUAAAUAUAUAUUCCACUAUAAACAUUCAAAUUGAGAUUAAGGGAUCACUUGGGUAUCUUGGUGAAACAAUUAUUAGAUGGAAAAAGGCUCAAUCUUCAUAAAACAUUAUUUGAUAAGAUUAUAUUACCAAGUAGAAUUGUUUCUCUUCUGGCCAUCCACAAAUAGAGAAAUCCAUAUGCAUGUUGCUUUCUUCAUUGUUUCCCCAUAACCAUCAGUACAGAAGACCCACAAGGUAAUACAUCCAAUCACACAUAUUGACAAUAAAAAUCAAGCUCCUACAUUAGCUCUAAAGCACAUAUUGUCUCUUGAAACCUUUGACAGCUUGGCUGGUUUCAUUUUUUACCCUCAGAUACUCUCUUCCUGGAAAGCAUCCUGGCUUCCUAAAAUAGGUAUUCGUGGAAAACACUCUCUCGCACUAUAGUGUUACCAGGAGUCAGUUCCUUUACUUGCAUAAACUGAACAUCUCAAUAAAGUAAAAAAGACUGCGCUUUCAUCCUAUGUAAUAAAAGGCUAAUAUGCAAAUUGUCCCCUCAGGAGUUCGACCGCUCGCUAUGAUGUGCGCUGACCACCAGGGUUAUAAAUAAGGGAAGAACAUGAAUGCUACCAGUACAUUUAAUAGGUUACCAUAACAUAUCUGGUUUAGUUCUUUAGAUUUUGUAGUCAGAAUUUAGAAGAAUAGUGUAUAUUGUGUAAGUUAAGGAAUUGUAUAA
Myotis daubentonii (Daubenton's bat) is the source of this 1349-nucleotide long non-coding RNA. RefSeq lists it as uncharacterized. The record is from RefSeq and is a predicted model, not a curated record. Lineage: Eukaryota; Metazoa; Chordata; Mammalia; Chiroptera; Vespertilionidae.